GGGUUCCUGGCAUGAUGAUUUGUGACUUAAGAUUAAAAUCACAUUGCCAGGGAUUACCAC
This 60-nucleotide microRNA precursor is filed under the name Columba livia (rock pigeon). Its description in RNAcentral is "Cli-Mir-23-P2_pre stem-loop". It matches the Rfam family "mir-23 microRNA precursor family", at positions 9 to 65 of the family's 73-position model. Lineage: Eukaryota; Metazoa; Chordata; Aves; Columbiformes; Columbidae. RNAcentral also lists the same sequence under 1 other name. The record is from RNAcentral.